This 468-nucleotide ribosomal RNA is filed under the name uncultured bacterium. RNAcentral's name for it is "partial 16S ribosomal RNA". It matches the Rfam family "Bacterial small subunit ribosomal RNA", at positions 28 to 507 of the family's 1533-position model. The record is from RNAcentral.
GACGAACGCUGGCGGCGUGCUUAACACAUGCAAGUCGAACGGAAAGGCCCUGCUUUUGUGGGGUGCUCGAGUGGCGAAAGGGUGAGUAACACGUGAGUAACCUGCCCUUGACUUUGGGCUAACUUCAGGAAAAUGGGGCUAAUAACGGAUAGGAGCUCCUGCUGCAUGGUGGGGGUUGGAAAGUUUCGGCGGUUGGGGAUGGACUCGCGGCGUAUCAGCUUGUUGGUGGGGUAGUGGCUUACCAAGGAUUUGACGGGUAGCCGGCCUGAGAGGGUGACCGGCCACAUUGGGACUGAGAUACGGCCCAGACUCCUACGGGAGGCAGCAGUGGGGAAUAGUGCACAAUGGGCGGAAGCCUGAUGCAGCAACGCCGCGUGCGGGAUGACGGCCUUCGGGUUGUAAACCGCUUUCGCCUGUUACGAAGCGUGAGUGACGGUAAUGGGUAAAGAAGCACCGGCUAACUACGUG